Molecule: ribosomal RNA, 253 nt
Filed under: uncultured bacterium
Lineage: Bacteria
Description: partial 16S ribosomal RNA
Rfam family: Bacterial small subunit ribosomal RNA
Source: RNAcentral
UACGUAGGGUGCAAGCGUUGUCCGGAAUUAUUGGGCGUAAAGAGCUCGUAGGCGGUUUGUCGCGUCUGUCGUGAAAACUGGAGGCUCAACCUCCAGCCUGCAGUGGGUACGGGCAGACUAGAGUGCGGUAGGGGAGAUUGGAAUUCCUGGUGUAGCGGUGGAAUGCGCAGAUAUCAGGAGGAACACCAAUGGCGAAGGCAGAUCUCUGGGCCGUAACUGACGCUGAGGAGCGAAAGCAUGGGGAGCGAACAGG